UGUGUGUUAGUGGAAGCGUCUGGAAAGGCGCGCGAUACAGGGUGACAGCCCCGUACACAAAAAUGCACAUGCUGUGAGCUCGAUGAGUAGGGCGGGACACGUGGUAUCCUGUCUGAAUAUGGGGGGACCAUCCUCCAAGGCUAAAUACUCCUGACUGACCGAUAGUGAACCAGUACCGUGAGGGAAAGGCGAAAAGAACCCCGGCGAGGGGAGUGAAAAAGAACCUGAAACCGUGUACGUACAAGCAGUGGGAGCACAGAGCAAUCUGUGUGACUGCGUACCUUUUGUAUAAUGGGUCAGCGACUUAUAUUCUGUAGCAAGGUUAACCGAAUAGGGGAGCCGAAGGGAAACCGAGUCUUAACUGGGCGUUAAGUUGCAGGGUAUAGACCCGAAACCCGGUGAUCUAGCCAUGGGCAGGUUGAAGGUUGGGUAACACUAACUGGAGGACCGAACCGACUAAUGUUGAAAAAUUAGCGGAUGACUUGUGGCUGGGGGUGAAAGGCCAAUCAAACCGGGAGAUAGCUGGUUCUCCCCGAAAGCUAUUUAGGUAGCGCCUCGUGAAUUCAUCUCCGGGGGUAGAGCACUGUUUCGGCAAGGGGGUCAUCCCGACUUACCAACCCGAUGCAAACUGCGAAUACCGGAGAAUGUUAUCACGGGAGACACACGGCGGGUGCUAACGUCCGUCGUGAAGAGGGAAACAACCCAGACCGCCAGCUAAGGUCCCAAAGUCAUGGUUAAGUGGGAAACGAUGUGGGAAGGCCCAGACAGCCAGGAUGUUGGCUUAGAAGCAGCCAUCAUUUAAAGAAAGCGUAAUAGCUCACUGGUCGAGUCGGCCUGCGCGGAAGAUGUAACGGGGCUAAACCAUGCACCGAAGCUGCGGCAGCGACACUAUGUGUUGUUGGGUAGGGGAGCGU
Molecule: ribosomal RNA, 914 nt
Filed under: Escherichia coli
Lineage: Bacteria; Pseudomonadati; Pseudomonadota; Gammaproteobacteria; Enterobacterales; Enterobacteriaceae
Description: partial 23S ribosomal RNA
Rfam family: Bacterial large subunit ribosomal RNA
Source: RNAcentral